RNAcentral lists this non-coding RNA (162 nucleotides) under bovine gut metagenome. The record is from RNAcentral.
UUUGUGGUGUCCUUAACGGACUCAAUAGGGAAUCGGGUGUGAAUCCCGGACAGUUCCCGCUGCUGUGUUGGUUACAACGCUUGCCAUGAAUGUCACUGAAAGCCAUGUCUUUCGGGAAGGCGGCAAGAAACGACCUCAGUCAGAAGACCUGCCUCAAGUCAU